GAUGAAGAACGCAGCGAAAUGCGAUAAGUAAUGUGAAUUGCAGAAUUCAGUGAAUCAUCGAAUCUUUGAACGCACAUUGCGCCCCCUGGUAUUCCGGGGGGCAUGCCUGUUCGAGCGUCAUUUCACCACUCAAGCCUCGCUUGGUAUUGGGCAUCGCGGUCCGCCGCGUGCCUCAAAUCGACCGGCUGGGUCUUCUGUCCCCUAAGCGUUGUGGAAACUAUUCGCUAAAGGGUGUUCGGGAGGCUACGCCGUAAAACAACCCCAUUUCUAAGGUUGACCUCGGAUCAGGUAGGGAUACCCGCUGAACUUAAGCAUAUCAAUAAGCGAGGA
This 330-nucleotide unclassified non-coding RNA is filed under the name soil metagenome. Its description in RNAcentral is "partial contains 5.8S ribosomal RNA, internal transcribed spacer 2, and large subunit ribosomal RNA". The stretch from base 1 to 120 matches the Rfam family "5.8S ribosomal RNA", at positions 35 to 154 of the family's 154-position model. The record is from RNAcentral.